GGUUUGGCUUAUGGCAUUUAGUGGAGCUAGUGAAGGAUUUGGUAAUUGUGGCCAUGUUUCGGGAGUAACGGUGGCGGAGGAAUUUCUAUCAUGUCCACUUGACGAAACAUAUCGAGGAGUAGAAGGACGAGAGUUUCUUUGACUCUCCACUUGUUCCAACCUCCCACUAAUAGUUGUCACUUCUCCCCUUAUGGCUCCCACUUUCGUCCUCAACCUUUCCAGAGCUCGGGUCAUAGCCUCAA
RNAcentral lists this long non-coding RNA (242 nucleotides) under Capsicum annuum. RNAcentral describes it as "long non-coding RNA (CANN_LNC011427)". Lineage: Eukaryota; Viridiplantae; Streptophyta; Magnoliopsida; Solanales; Solanaceae. The record is from RNAcentral.